This 483-nucleotide ribosomal RNA is filed under the name uncultured bacterium. RNAcentral describes it as "bacterial SSU rRNA". It matches the Rfam family "Bacterial small subunit ribosomal RNA", at positions 29 to 507 of the family's 1533-position model. The record is from RNAcentral.
AACGAACGCUGGCGGCGCGCCUAACACAUGCAAGUCGAACGAGAAUCCGGGGCAACCCGGUAGUAAAGUGGCAAACGGGUGAGGAAUACAUGGGUAACCUACCCUUGAGAAGGGAAUAACCCGCCGAAAGGUGAGCUAAUACCCUAUACGCUAUCUUUUUUUCGAAAAGGAUAGGAAAGCCGGGUUGAGGACCUGGUACUCAAGGAGGGGCUCAUGUCCUAUCAGCUUGUUGGUGGGGUAACGGCCUACCAAGGCUACGACGGGUAGCUGGUCUGAGAGGAUGAUCAGCCACACUGGCACUGAGAUACGGGCCAGACUCCUACGGGAGGCAGCAGUGAGGAAUAUUGCGCAAUGGGGCGAAAGCCUGACGCAGCGACGCCGCGUGGGGGAUGAAGGUUUUCGGAUUGUAAACCCUUUCAUGGGAAGAUAAAGUGGGUAACCACUUAGACGGUACCUCAAGAAGAAGCCACGGCUAACUUCGUG